This 434-nucleotide ribosomal RNA is filed under the name uncultured Clostridiales Family XIV bacterium. RNAcentral's name for it is "bacterial SSU rRNA". It matches the Rfam family "Bacterial small subunit ribosomal RNA", at positions 341 to 792 of the family's 1533-position model. Lineage: Bacteria; Bacillati; Bacillota; Clostridia; Eubacteriales; Clostridiales Family XIV. Incertae Sedis. The record is from RNAcentral.
ACGGAAGGCAGCAGUGGGGAAUAUUGGACAAUGGGGGAAACCCUGAUCCAGCGACGCCGCGUGAGUGAAGAAGUAUUUCGGUAUGUAAAGCUCUAUCAGCAAGGAAGAAAAUGACGGUACUUGACUAAGAAGCCCCGGCUAACUACGUGCCAGCAGCCGCGGUAAUACGUAGGGGGCAAGCGUUAUCCGGAUUUACUGGGUGUAAAGGGAGCGUAGACGGCAAAGCAAGUCUGAAGUGAAAUCCCGGGGCUCAACCCUGGAACUGCUUUGGAAACUGUUUAGCUAGAGUGCAGGAGAGGUAAGUGGAAUUCCUAGUGUAGCGGUGAAAUGCGUAGAUAUUAGGAGGAACACCAGUGGCGAAGGCGGCUUGCUGGACGACAACUGACGCUGAGGCGCGAAAGCGUGGGGAGCAAACAGGAUUAGAUACCCUGGUA